Molecule: long non-coding RNA, 1601 nt
Organism: Betta splendens (Siamese fighting fish)
Lineage: Eukaryota; Metazoa; Chordata; Actinopteri; Anabantiformes; Osphronemidae
Source: Ensembl
AGGAUAUUUUUCACAAUGGAAACAUACUAUAACUAAUUCUGAGCACUUGAUCUUACAGAAACCCUUUCAUUCACAUUUUUCUUUGUCCUGUAGAAGUGAAACCAAAGAGGACAGUAAUCCAAACAUACCAAAAAGACAGCAACAGGAAACACCCACUUCUGGGUCAGUAGUUGUUACAUAAAACAAUCUAAUGAAACAGUCAGUUUUCACAAAUUCUCCACAUAAUAUUUUCUCAAGCUAAAGUAAGUGACGAACAAAGUCAAGCAGAUAAAUGUUUUUAUGAUUGAUGAUGCCAAACUAUGACAGAAACAUAUUUUUACCUUGUUCAGUGUUUGUUUCAAACCAGACUUUCUCCUCCCAUUCCUUCCUUCAUCCCCUGGUUGUGGUCCUGUAGGCAUGCAGCACCUUGUGGAAUGCAUUUGUGAUGGAGCGACACAAAAGAGUUACUACCUCUGCACUCUCUGCAAACUCACUUUGGCUGCCCACAUGAUCAUCAAACAUGUCCUGAGCUUUGACCACAUCUUCUGUUACUUUAAAGAGUGGCAUCCAUCUACUUUGCUGUCCAAGGAAUGCUACAUAAAUCACGAGUCUUUUGUCUGUGAUAUACUAGAUUUUUCAAGGCAGACAGAGGAAAUUCAUGGAACUGCAAACACUGAGAUCAAGCAAGUGAUUCUGGACCCUACUGAGUAUUCAUCAGUGAAUUUUGCUUGUUAUGCUGAAGCUUUGAAGACGCUGGAAUCAAAGAGAAAUGAGAACAAACAAGGCAGCCUGAUUGUGAACAUUAAGCCUGGGCGAAAGUUGGUUUCUGUAGUACGUCUUGCCGAAGAGAGCAGUCUGCCCUACUCCAUAAUUCUGCGCUGCCAGGACUGCUCUCAGCGCUUUAACAGUAUUUACCAGUAUUUAAAUCAUUUGCCAAAGGUGAAACACAUAAUGAUGCUGCAAAAACACUUUGGUCAAGCUAAAAGAGAUUGUGGCCAACAAACAGGACAGAGACCAUAUCUGGGCCUAUACACUUACAUCCAAAACUGCUUAAAGAUAAAUGAACCGGUUAUUGGUGUCUCCCUGAUCGUGACAUGCAUCAACACUGAAAUUAAGGAAGACUGCAUCUAUGUUUGCUUUGCCUGUGAGGAUUUUUUCUCUGACUCUGCUCUCAAGCAGCACCUAGGAUCCAUUUGCCAUCUUGUAAACACAUUGCUGUACCAGAAUCCCUGGCGACUUCCUUUUGCCUGGGAAAACUCCUUGAAUGUGACAGAAUUAAAGUCACUGGCAUUGGAAGAGGAGAAGGAACAGGGACCAAAUCAUGUGAUCACCAUGAAGGUUUUUGACAUGCCACGCAUGCUAUUUUGCAGCCUCCUCCCAGCUACUUAUGAAGAAGGUAGUAAUUGUUUGUUGUGAAAGUAAUGAAAAUUGGGCCUUUCCUCAUUAAACUUACAGCAAUCUCCUAGUUUUCUGCAUAAACUGUGGUGAAAUGUGGAUUAGUGCUAUUUUUACCUAAUGAUGCCAUAUUUUGACAACACAGUUCCUCUUGAGCUGUGCAGGUCUGAUCUCUGCCUGUUCAUGCCCAAUUUUCUAAGAUGAAAUAAUUAUCUUGUCUCAUUUGA